CCUACGAGAGGCCGCAGUGAGGAAUAUUGGUCAAUGGACGAGAGUCUGAACCAGCCAAGUAGCGUGAAGGAUGACUGCCCUAUGGAUUGUAAACUUCUUUUAUAUGGGAAUAAAAUGUUCCACGUGUGUGAUUUUGUCUGUACCAUAUGAGUACGGAUCGGCUAACCCCGUGCCAGCAGCCGCGGUAAUACGGAGGAUCCGAGAGUUAUCCGGAGUUACUGGGUUUAAAGGGAGCGUAGGUGGAUUGUUAAGUCAGUUGUGAAAGUUUGCGGCUCAACCGUAAAAUUGCAGUUGAAACUGGAAGGCUGGAGUACAGUAGAGGUGGGCGGAAUUCGUGGUGUAGCGGUGAAAUGCUUAGAUAUCACGAAGAACUCCGAUUGCGAAGGCAGUUCACUGGACUGCAACUGACACUGAGGCUCGAAAGUGUGGGUAUCAAACAGGAUUAGAUACCCUAGUAGUC
Molecule: ribosomal RNA, 460 nt
Filed under: uncultured bacterium
Lineage: Bacteria
Description: partial 16S ribosomal RNA
Rfam family: Bacterial small subunit ribosomal RNA
Source: RNAcentral